Molecule: long non-coding RNA, 742 nt
Filed under: Homo sapiens (human)
Lineage: Eukaryota; Metazoa; Chordata; Mammalia; Primates; Hominidae
Description: non-protein coding lnc-PRL-10:1
Source: RNAcentral
GGAGGAUUGCAAUCAUCUCCUUGGUAAGGUGCUCAAUGCCAGGUAAGUUUCUCUAUAAACUCCCCUCUACAUUGUCAGUAUAAUAUAACCUUCCUAACACACAUACUGCAUAUGAUGCCUAAUCAGAUAUUUUUCAAGCAGGUAGAUUUCACAUUCACUUUAUGUCCUUUUAUGAAUGUUGUUGCUUUUUUUUCAUUCCCUUAGGAUUUUUUUUUUAGAAUUAAAAAGAAAAUUAUAUUCUGUUGAGUUCACUGUAAGAAAAAAUCCUUGAUAUUGAAGGCAUCUAGCUCCCCAUUCUGCCUUUAGGGAACCAUUGAGCAUAUGCACAUUCCAUCAGCCAGAGUCUGCCAGCAUCUAAUGCCUCUCUAGGGCUUCACCAUUACCCGAAUUUGAAUGCUGAGAAGAUGCUCAUAAUUGCUUAUUAUGACAUUAGACAAGAGAAUUCAAGUCCCAUUUGAUUGUAAUGAGUUUGUGGAGUCUCUGCUUUCUGUGGUCCAAUCACAUACAGAAGUGAAUGUGAGGCAAGUUUGAUGAAACAGAAUUAUGCUUGAAGAGGUGAGCAUGAGGCUCGGACCUUUUUCACUUAAAUUUUUUUUUCUUAUAACUUUCAGCAUUCUGUUGAUGGAAAUAAAAGUAAUAUCAAUUAUAAAAUCUUUCAGCAGGAAAACUCAAAAUUCUUUCCAAACUAAAUUAUUUUCCCAGGUUACCACUGAAAUAAUUCAGACUUACUGUCUCCACAUUG